This 465-nucleotide ribosomal RNA is filed under the name uncultured bacterium. RNAcentral's name for it is "partial 16S ribosomal RNA". It matches the Rfam family "Bacterial small subunit ribosomal RNA", at positions 28 to 507 of the family's 1533-position model. The record is from RNAcentral.
GACGAACGCUGGCGGCGUGCUUAACACAUUCAAGUCGAACGGAAAGGCCCUGCUUGCAGGGUACUCGAGUGGCGAACGGGUGAGUAACACGUGGGUGAUCUGCCCUGCACUUCGGGAUAAGCCUGGGAAACUGGGUCUAAUACCGGAUAGGAGCCAUUUUUAGUGUGAUGGUUGGAAAGUUUUUUCGGUGUAGGAUGAGCUCGCGGCCUAUCAGCUUGUUGGUGGGGUAAUGGCCUACCAAGGCGGCGACGGGUAGCCGGCCUGAGAGGGUGGACGGCCACAUUGGGACUGAGAUACGGCCCAGACUCCUACGGGAGGCAGCAGUGGGGAAUAUUGCACAAUGGGCGCAAGCCUGAUGCAGCGACGCCGCGUGGGGGAUGACGGCCUUCGGGUUGUAAACUCCUUUCGCUAGGGACGAAGCUUUUUGUGACGGUACCUAGAUAAGAAGCACCGGCUAACUACGUG